AGCGAACGCUGGCGGCAGGCCUAACACAUGCAAGUCGAACGAACUCUUCGGAGUUAGUGGCGGACGGAUGAGUAACACGUGGGAACGUGCCUUUUGGUUCGGAAUAACUCAGGGAAACUUGUGCUAAUACCGAAUGUGCCCUUCGGGGGAAAGAUUUAUCGCCAUUAGAGCGGCCCGCGUCUGAUUAGCUAGUUGGUGAGGUAACGGCUCACCAAGGCGACGAUCAGUAGCUGGUCUGAGAGGAUGACCAGCCACACUGGGACUGAGACACGGCCCAGACUCCUACGGGAAGCAGCAGUGGGGAAUCUUGCGCAAUGGGCGAAAGCCUGACGCAGCCAUGCCGCGUGAAUGAUGAAGGUCUUAGGAUUGUAAAAUUCUUUCACCGGGGACGAUAAUGACGGUACCCGGAGAAGAAGCCCCGGCUAACUUCGUG
This 433-nucleotide ribosomal RNA is filed under the name uncultured bacterium. RNAcentral describes it as "partial 16S ribosomal RNA". It matches the Rfam family "Bacterial small subunit ribosomal RNA", at positions 29 to 507 of the family's 1533-position model. The record is from RNAcentral.